GAGUCUUGCAUGAAGAGAUGGAGAGUAGAUAUGAGCCAAGGAUGACUUGCCAAAGCAUAUGGCCUUUCCACUUGUUAAUCUUCUGGCAAGCUGUCCUUGGUUCACGUUUGCUCUCUUUUCUCUCAUGUGAGAUUC
This 135-nucleotide microRNA precursor is filed under the name Prunus persica (peach). The record is from RNAcentral. Lineage: Eukaryota; Viridiplantae; Streptophyta; Magnoliopsida; Rosales; Rosaceae.